RNAcentral lists this ribosomal RNA (600 nucleotides) under Halomonas koreensis. Its description in RNAcentral is "bacterial SSU rRNA". It matches the Rfam family "Bacterial small subunit ribosomal RNA", at positions 38 to 632 of the family's 1533-position model. The record is from RNAcentral. Lineage: Bacteria; Pseudomonadati; Pseudomonadota; Gammaproteobacteria; Oceanospirillales; Halomonadaceae.
UGGGGCAGCGUACACAUGCAGUCGAGCGGAAACGAUGGGAGCUUGCUCCCAGGCGUCGAGCGGCGGACGGGUGAGUAAUGCAUAGGAAUCUGCCCGGUAGUGGGGGAUAACCUGGGGAAACUCAGGCUAAUACCGCAUACGUCCUACGGGAGAAAGCAGGGGAUCUUCGGACCUUGCGCUAUCGGAUGAGCCUAUGUCGGAUUAGCUAGUUGGUGAGGUAACGGCUCACCAAGGCCGCGAUCCGUAGCUGGUCUGAGAGGAUGAUCAGCCACAUCGGGACUGAGACACGGCCCGAACUCCUACGGGAGGCAGCAGUGGGGAAUAUUGGACAAUGGGCGAAAGCCUGAUCCAGCCAUGCCGCGUGUGUGAAGAAGGCCCUCGGGUUGUAAAGCACUUUCAGUGAGGAAGAAGGCUUGUGGGUUAAUACCCUGCAAGAAGGACAUCACUCACAGAAGAAGCACCGGCUAACUCCGUGCCAGCAGCCGCGGUAAUACGGAGGGUGCGAGCGUUAAUCGGAAUUACUGGGCGUAAAGCGCGCGUAGGCGGCUUGAUAAGCCGGUUGUGAAAGCCCCGGGCUCAACCUGGGAACGGCAUCCGGAA